CAGUAGCCGCGGUAAUACGAAGGGUGCAAGCGUUAAUCGGAAUUACUGGGCGUAAAGCGUGCGUAGGCGGUUUGUUAAGUCUGUUGUGAAAUCCCCGGGCUCAACCUGGGAAUGGCAAUGGAUACUGGCAAGCUAGAGUGUGUCAGAGGAUGGUGGAAUUCCCGGUGUAGCGGUGAAAUGCGUAGAGAUCGGGAGGAACAUCAGUGGCGAAGGCGGCCAUCUGGGACAACACUGACGCUGAGGCACGAAAGCGUGGGGAGCAAACAGGAUUAGAGACCCGCGUAGUCCCUGUCUCUUAUAC
Molecule: ribosomal RNA, 301 nt
Filed under: uncultured bacterium
Lineage: Bacteria
Description: partial 16S ribosomal RNA
Rfam family: Bacterial small subunit ribosomal RNA
Source: RNAcentral